AUGUUUAAAAUCUGCCAACUGAGCUGCCAACCUAGGCUGUGCUUUGAGGCAUCAUAAGCACAUUCCCGACACCAGGAACUGACUUCCCAAAGACAUUUCAUGCUGAGGCUACCACAAACAACAUGCGGCAAGACAGACUAGCACAUAGCACAACUGUGAAAAAUGCAAUGAAGCCCUCUGGUCCACUUGUCCUUGUGAGCCUGACGUCAAUCAAGUGCAAACCACUUGUCUCUGCAGCCCUCCAUCUCGUCCAGAUGCUGUGUGUGAGUGUGUGGUGCCAGUGGUAAUUGGAAUGCAGCAUGUGACUCUGGGCUACAGAGAGAGCUGUCUGAUGAGCCCAUUUGUCUCAGAGCGCCAUAGCAGCUCCGCUCCUCCCCCCUGCCACUAACUGCAGUGUUCGGCUGCGUGCAUUAUCUGCAAAUGGAGAGCCGGGACGCCACACUUCACUUUCUCUAUCGCAUUGAUCCUGUAGUAAGAGACAGCUUCUUUCACACUGACUGUUUGAUCAAUCUCAUAUUGUGCUUGUAUGGUACAUUCAGACACCGAGAACAAUAGGAGGAAGAUCAAGAGAGACAAGACAAUACUAUAAUACCAUUUUUAAU
Molecule: long non-coding RNA, 602 nt
Organism: Sinocyclocheilus anshuiensis
Lineage: Eukaryota; Metazoa; Chordata; Actinopteri; Cypriniformes; Cyprinidae
Exons: 4
Source: RefSeq, a predicted model, not a curated record